CCGCAACGAGCGCAACCCUCACCCCUAGUUGCCACCGGGUAAAGCCGAGCACUCGAGGGGAACUGCCAGCGUCAAGCUGGAGGAAGGCGGGGAUGACGUCAAGUCAUCAUGCCCCUUACGCCCUGGGCUACACACGUGCUACAAUGGCCAGUACAGAGAGAUGCGAGACCGCGAGGUGGAGCCAAUCCCAAAAAGCUGGCCUAAGUUCAGAUUGCAGUCUGCAACUCGACUGCAUGAAGUAGGAAUCGCUAGUAAUCGCGCAUCAGCACGGCGCGGUGAAUACGUUCCCGGGCCUUGUACACACCGCCCGUCACACCACGAAAGCUGACUGUACUCGAAGUCGCUGAGCCAACCCGCAAGGGAGGCAGGUGCCGAAGGUAUGGUGAGUGAUUGGGGUGAAGUCGUAACAAGGUAGCCGUACGGGAACGUGCGGCUGGAUCACCUCCUUUCUAAGGAG
RNAcentral lists this ribosomal RNA (457 nucleotides) under Patescibacteria group bacterium. Its description in RNAcentral is "bacterial SSU rRNA". It matches the Rfam family "Bacterial small subunit ribosomal RNA", at positions 1087 to 1533 of the family's 1533-position model. The record is from RNAcentral.